Vicugna pacos (alpaca) is the source of this 446-nucleotide non-coding RNA. NCBI's taxonomy places the organism in Eukaryota, Metazoa, Chordata, Mammalia, Artiodactyla, Camelidae. The record is from RefSeq and is a predicted model, not a curated record.
GGAAUAUCUGAAGCCUUUUCUGCAAGUUUUUUAAAUAAGUAAGAGCAGAUGCAGAAGUUUUUAUAGCUUCACAGACAUUUCAGUCUUGCAGAGAGAAAAAUUUCUUUGCAUUUUGCUGAACUUGUCCGGGUGGCUUUAUCGAAUUUGGUCCAGGCCUCCAGAGGUGAAUACACAUCCAAACCUGAACCAUUUGAAUAUCUGCAAGAGUUUAAGAGUCUAGAAUGUCAGAUCUGGACUAUAACUCUGGUGAAUGACAUCAGUUUUGGAUGACAAGCUUGUAUUUGCAAAAGUACACAGCCUGUGGGAGGUGCUCUGUACAUACGCUGAGAUACUUCACAUAAAAUUGCCUCUGAAGCCCAAUGAUCUGAAAACACUGUCCUCAGCCUUUGAUAAUUUCAGCUGUUUUAUGAAAGUCCUCCAAGUGGAUGAAAGUAUCAUCAAGCAGG